UACGUAGGGUGCAAGCGUUGUCCGGAAUUAUUGGGCGUAAAGAGCUCGUAGGCGGUUUGUUGCGUCGGCUGUGAAAUCCCGAGGCUCAACCUCGGGUCUGCAGUCGAUACGGGCAAACUAGAGUGUUGCAGGGGAGACUGGAAUUCCUGGUGUAGCGGUGAAAUGCGCAGAUAUCAGGAGGAACACCGGUGGCGAAGGCGGGUCUCUGGGCAACAACUGACGCUGAGGAGCGAAAGCGUGGGGAGCGAACAGG
RNAcentral lists this ribosomal RNA (253 nucleotides) under uncultured bacterium. Its description in RNAcentral is "partial 16S ribosomal RNA". It matches the Rfam family "Bacterial small subunit ribosomal RNA", at positions 524 to 776 of the family's 1533-position model. The record is from RNAcentral.